GACGAACGUUGGCGGCGUGCUUAAUACAUGCAAGUCAACUGAAGCAGUGGUAGCAAUAUCGCUGUGGAGGUGGCGCACGGGUGAGUAACACGUAGGUAAUCUGACUUCAGGUCUGGCAUAACUCCGGGAAACCGGGGCUAAUAGCAGAUGAUGCAGCGGCUCGACAUCGAGACAGCAGUUAAAGCAAUGGCGCCUGAAGAUGAGCCUGCGUCUGAUUAGCUAGUUGGCGGGGUAACGGCCCAACAAGGCAACGAUCAGUAGCUGGUCUGAGAGGAUGCACAGCCACAGUGGCACUGAGACACGGUCCAGACUCCGACGGGAGGCAGCAGUAAGGAAUAUUGCUCAAUGGGAGAAAUCCUGAAGCAGCAACGCCGCGUGAGGGACGAAGGGCUUUUGCUUGUAAACCUCUGUAGUGAGAGAAAAAAAUCCCAAUCUUUGGGACAUGAUGGUAUCUCAAAAGUAAGCCCCGGCUAACUACGUG
This 481-nucleotide ribosomal RNA is filed under the name uncultured bacterium. RNAcentral's name for it is "partial 16S ribosomal RNA". It matches the Rfam family "Bacterial small subunit ribosomal RNA", at positions 28 to 507 of the family's 1533-position model. The record is from RNAcentral.